UACGAAGGGGGCUAGCGUUGUUCGGAAUUACUGGGCGUAAAGGGCGCGUAGGCGGCGUGUCAAGUCAGGCGUGAAAGCCCCGGGCUCAACCUGGGAACCGCGCUUGAGACUGGCAUGCUCGAGUUCGGGAGAGGAUGGUGGAAUUCCCAGUGUAGAGGUGAAAUUCGUAGAUAUUGGGAAGAACACCGAUGGCGAAGGCAGCCAUCUGGACCGACACUGACGCUGAGGCGCGAAAGCGUGGGGAUCAAACAGG
This 253-nucleotide ribosomal RNA is filed under the name uncultured bacterium. RNAcentral describes it as "partial 16S ribosomal RNA". It matches the Rfam family "Bacterial small subunit ribosomal RNA", at positions 524 to 776 of the family's 1533-position model. The record is from RNAcentral.